UGAAAGUGAAUAUGUGAGCUCUAAUCUCCAUAACUGGAUUGACCUCAUAGAUCAGGAGGUGUUGAUCAGGAGCAGCUAAUCAGGAGCCUCAUCAACCAAACUGCAGGGAAAGCAUUAUAAUACCAUAGCAACACUAUGUGACAUGUAUGCUUUCUUGGUGUUCCUUUUUGUCGUUUUUAUCUGGUGUUCUCAUCUAGCCAUAUCUAUCGUAACAACACCCAAGAGGUCCGUGAAUAUGAUGGGUUAGCGUUUAGUACUCUAUACAAGAGUACUGGACUGCAAGCCAUUGAUGAGAUUGUCC
This is a long non-coding RNA of Zea mays, 301 nucleotides long. RefSeq lists it as uncharacterized. The record is from RefSeq and is a predicted model, not a curated record. Lineage: Eukaryota; Viridiplantae; Streptophyta; Magnoliopsida; Poales; Poaceae. The transcript is spliced from 3 exons.